RNAcentral lists this long non-coding RNA (862 nucleotides) under Erythranthe guttata (spotted monkey flower). Its description in RNAcentral is "long non-coding RNA (EGUT_LNC002134)". The record is from RNAcentral. Lineage: Eukaryota; Viridiplantae; Streptophyta; Magnoliopsida; Lamiales; Phrymaceae.
AAGAUGUGCCUUGAUCAUCUAUUCAAUAAACCAUAAUUAAUAUUCUUGCACAAUAAUAUAUGUUUCAAAUAUUUAAAUAAAUUUACUCGUCCCUAUCCACUUUCAGCAAUAUUCGGUUGCUCGAGAUUCUUUGUUGUGAUGCAACACUUGAUUGUGAAUCUCCCACUUCCCCUUGCUCUGAUAGAGGUGUUUGUGGUUGUGCCUGUGAUGAACUCUCACGGCUCGCUCGUCUAACACCUCUUCCUCGUGGCAGUUUCCUGAAAAAACAAACAAACAAACAAACAAACAAAUAAAAGGAAAAACAUAAAGUGUUCAAGUCUAUUAUACAUCCAAAUGCGGUCAUCUUUAAAUGAACUCAUGUUCAGCUACAUCCGAAAUAUGAACUGAAUUAAUUAAUAAGGAAAAUAAUAACAAAAAAAUGACCAAUAUCAUAAAAAAAUAGACAAGUUAAAACAUACAAUAAUCUGUUCAAUUUGGGAGAAGUAGAUGAUAAUUUAAGAAGAAAUAAACCACAUAAUUUUCUCACUGAGAUUUGAAUAGUUUUAAUUUAUUUUCCAUUUUUUCUUUCACCAAAUAUAAAGGUAUAAAACAAAAAAAGUAAAUUUACCCUAUCAAUCCAACUAAAUAUGAAACAGAGGCAAUUAAAUAUUAAUUCGCAAACAAUUUUUUUAUGCCAGGACAAUCUAAAAUUCGAAUCAAUAAAAAUUGUGUGUGUGGGUGGGUGGGGGGGGGGGUGAGAAUUACACAAGAGAGGCGUCACUCGUGGCGUACGUGGUGGUGACUUCUCGUGGCGCUGCGGUUGUGGCUGGUCGUGGUACCGCGAGCACGGGUGGCUGGUCGCGGGGCCGGCAGUGGGGAUUCA